AAGCGGCGGACGGGUGAGUAACACGUGGGUAACCUACCCAUAAGACUGGGAUAACUCCGGGAAACCGGGGCUAAUACCGGAUAAUAUUUUGAACUGCAUAGUUCGAAAUUGAAAGGCGGCUUCGGCUGUCACUUAUGGAUGGACCCGCGUCGCAUUAGCUAGUUGGUGAGGUAACGGCUCACCAAGGCGACGAUGCGUAGCCGACCUGAGAGGGUGAUCGGCCACACUGGGACUGAGACACGGCCCAGACUCCUACGGGAGGCAGCAGUAGGGAAUCUUCCGCAAUGGACGAAAGUCUGACGGAGCAACGCCGCGUGAGUGAUGAAGGCUUUCGGGUCGUAAAACUCUGUUUU
RNAcentral lists this ribosomal RNA (353 nucleotides) under Bacillus mycoides. Its description in RNAcentral is "bacterial SSU rRNA". It matches the Rfam family "Bacterial small subunit ribosomal RNA", at positions 93 to 439 of the family's 1533-position model. The record is from RNAcentral. Lineage: Bacteria; Bacillati; Bacillota; Bacilli; Caryophanales; Bacillaceae.